Molecule: long non-coding RNA, 546 nt
Organism: Fukomys damarensis (Damara mole-rat)
Lineage: Eukaryota; Metazoa; Chordata; Mammalia; Rodentia; Bathyergidae
Exons: 4
Source: RefSeq, a predicted model, not a curated record
AGCACCAGAAGCCACCCUCAGUUCCUGCAAGACAGAGAAAGGAGACAGAGAAGGACAGGUUCCUGGGUUGUACAACUCUGCCUAGAACAGAGGAGCAUGAAUAAACAUUGAUCCUCAGAACAUCCACCUUCUUCUGAGUUGAAAAGACACAGGUAAAUUUUCACGAAGCUGAGUGAAAGACUUUGAAAGAGACAGAAACUUUCUGAAGUAUCACAUCUCAUUUACUUGGGAUCUACAAGAAGAGAAAUGUUACAGGACAUCACAGUACUGACACUGUGAGUCCACAGACUUCGACAGAAAUAAGAGUUUAUAAUCCAAAACCUAGAGAUGCUGGAUUUAAAGGACUCUUAGAAGAUUUCAAAGAAUUCAUGAUCUGGCAAAGGAAGAACCUCAAAAAUACCGGACUCUGCCCAAGUUCCCUUGCUAAAUCCAUUUUAAGAAGUGGCCCCAAGACUUUUGACCCUAACUCCUGCUGUUUGCACUAUCUCGUUGUAUUAUUCUUAUAAAAAAGUACUCAUGUCUAAGAAAUGAACACUUAAAUCUAGU